This 72-nucleotide transfer RNA is filed under the name Pseudozyma flocculosa PF-1. RNAcentral's name for it is "tRNA-Glu (TTC) (tRNA-Glu-TTC-1-1)". It matches the Rfam family "tRNA". From Rfam's summary of the family: Transfer RNA (tRNA) molecules are approximately 80 nucleotides in length. Lineage: Eukaryota; Fungi; Basidiomycota; Ustilaginomycetes; Ustilaginales; Ustilaginaceae. The record is from RNAcentral.
UCCCAGCUCGUCUAGUGGUCAAGAUACGGCACUUUCACUGCUGAGACCGGGGUUCGAUUCCCCGGCCGGGAG